GAAUUCUAGGUCCUUUAUUCAGUUAUCCGCAUAGCUUUUCUAUUUAUUAGGCUACCUGAAUGUUCUUCCUUAUCUUAGCAAUCUUUGUAGCAGUUUCGUCUGUUAACACUGGUCCAAGUAAUUUCCUUUCCCUAACUUCUUUCCAGCAGAUUGGUGACCUACACGGUCGGCCAUACAAUGCUUCAUAGGGGGUGAUAUCAAUGUUUGUUUGGUAGCUGUUGUUAUAAG
Molecule: long non-coding RNA, 228 nt
Filed under: Carica papaya (papaya)
Lineage: Eukaryota; Viridiplantae; Streptophyta; Magnoliopsida; Brassicales; Caricaceae
Description: long non-coding RNA (CPAP_LNC000956)
Source: RNAcentral